This 21-nucleotide non-coding RNA is filed under the name Caenorhabditis elegans. The record is from RNAcentral. Lineage: Eukaryota; Metazoa; Nematoda; Chromadorea; Rhabditida; Rhabditidae.
UCAAUUGGUCCCAAAAUGACU